CUGGAGUGGCCCAGGCAGAGGCCCACUUGCAGAGACUAAUGGGAGCCUCAAGAGAAAAUCUACCAUAAGAAAAGGACCAGUCUGACAGCAAGCCCAGCUUCCCAGGAAGAUAGAAGGUUGGAGGCAAGCUGCUGUCCAGGUAUGUCCCGAACCAGCCAACUUGAAGGUAAGUUUGCUCCCUGGGGAGAGAAGGGCUCUAGGUGUGAACUAAAAGCUGUGUCCAUAGACACUGUAACACUGGAGUUCAAAAAAUGUUGCUGUGGAACGGCCCUUCUCAUCCAAACCCAGACGGAAUGUUCUCACCUGCCAAGAGUAGUGUCUUGUAUUGAGGCACAGUGGUAGCUUUCUGGAUCCACAGGCAAGGCCCUGUGGAGUCUCAGAAUAAUGAUAAAUCCUCUGGAUGACCUAGGGGCUGGUGAGGUGAGUGGAGCGCCCUGCUGUGGUGUGUCUGUAGGACCAUUGGAGCCUGAUGCUGCCAAAGCAUGACCUGACCAGCCCUGGCAACUGGUUUAGGAUCAUACAACCAUGCACAUGCCCCUAGGAUUCCUAGAAAUACUAAGGGGAAAAGGAUUUUCCCGGAGCUGGGACAUUCUACAUUUGCACAGGUAGGAGGACAGGAUUUUCAAGAUGCCCAAGAAAGUAAUCAAGCAAUAAUCAUGCACAUCUUCAUGAAGGAAUGGUAGAGCCCCACAUGACCCAUGAUCUGCACCCCACAGGACCCCCGCCCCACUGCUUCUCUGCCCUCAUCUCGUAGCACUCCAGCCCAGGCCCCGCUGGCUGGCCUCCCGUGAAGCACGCUCUCCCCUCAGGGCCUUUACACUUGGCUUCUCCCUUGAUCUGGGUUGUGCUCUUCCCUAUCUUCCCACCCUCUAAUGUCCAUGCGCCUUCUUCCUCACUUUCUUCAGCUCUCUGUUCAGACGUCACCUUUUCUGUGAGGCCUUCCCUGACCUAACAUAAACAGCAACAAGGUCAGUCUCAGUGGCUCACGCCUGUUAUUCCAGCACUUUGGGAGGCCAAGGCAGGCAGAUCACCUGAGGUCAGGAGUUCGAGACCAGCCUGGCCAACAUGGUGAAACCCCG
RNAcentral lists this long non-coding RNA (1079 nucleotides) under Pan troglodytes (chimpanzee). RNAcentral's name for it is "long non-coding RNA NONPTRT011032". The record is from RNAcentral. Lineage: Eukaryota; Metazoa; Chordata; Mammalia; Primates; Hominidae.